GGGCCCGCACAAGCAGUGGAGCAUGUGGUUUAAUUCGACGCAACGCGCAGAACCUUACCAGGGUUUGACAUCCUCUGACGGUAGUGGAAACACUAUUUUCUGGUCUUGUACCAGACAGGGAGACAGGUGCUGCAUGGUUGUCGUCAGCUCGUGUCGUGAGAUGUUGGGUUAAGUCCCGCAACGAGCGCAACCCCUGUCCUGUGUUACCAGCGUUAAGGCGGGGACUCACAGGAGACUGCCGGAGAGAAUUCGGAGGAAGAUGGGGAUGACGUCAAAUCCUCAUGGCCCUUAUACCCUGGGCCACACACGUGCUACAAUGGCAGGCACAGAGGGGAGCUAAGGAGCGAUCCGGAGCGAAUCUCAAAAAGCCUGUCUCAGUUCGGAUUGCAGGCUGCAACUCGCCUGCAUGAAGCCGGAAUUGCUAGUAAUCGCAGAUCAGCUAUGCUGCGGUGAAUACGUUCCCGGGCCUU
Molecule: ribosomal RNA, 470 nt
Filed under: uncultured bacterium
Lineage: Bacteria
Description: bacterial SSU rRNA
Rfam family: Bacterial small subunit ribosomal RNA
Source: RNAcentral